CUGCUUAUUUCUCCUCUCUCAGACAGCACACCUAGUAAAAACAGCAUCCAAGAUUGGUGGUGGCAAAUUGGUGGUGGCUAGUGGUGACAUCACCACUAGCACUAGCAUCCAAGCUCUGAUACAAAUGGAUAAGGUUCUAAGUCAGUAAGAGCAGAAGCUGUGUCCGGCCAUCUGCGUCUGAAAACCAUCUACAACACACAAUUGGCAGAUGAGAAAUUUAAAAAGGAUGAGGUCAUUAAACUGUCUCACUGGAAACAUGAUUCCACUCUUUCAGACAGAAAACCGACUAGCCCAGGAGACUUUCACCAAAGUACUGAAGGAUCUGAUGCAUGGGCUCAUUGCCUGAGCCCUACAGUCUUGAGUCAAAAAAAUCUACCAGGAGGACAAGAAAGGUCUAGUCUGUGAACCACUUGGUCGGAAAGGUCCCGUUUUUAAAAAAAAAAAAAAAAAGGACCCACUUUAAGAAAGGUCUUGCUCAAAGUGCCCUGGCUGGCUGGCUCUAAGACAGACUGCCAGCAA
This is a long non-coding RNA of Orcinus orca (killer whale), 519 nucleotides long. RefSeq lists it as uncharacterized. The record is from RefSeq and is a predicted model, not a curated record. NCBI's taxonomy places the organism in Eukaryota, Metazoa, Chordata, Mammalia, Artiodactyla, Delphinidae. The transcript has 2 exons.